Molecule: transfer RNA, 74 nt
Filed under: Propionibacteriaceae bacterium
Lineage: Bacteria; Bacillati; Actinomycetota; Actinomycetes; Propionibacteriales; Propionibacteriaceae
Description: tRNA-Cys
Rfam family: tRNA
About the family: Transfer RNA (tRNA) molecules are approximately 80 nucleotides in length.
Source: RNAcentral
GAGCAUGUGGCCGAGAGGCGAGGCAACGGCCUGCAAAGCCGUGUACAGGGGUUCGAAUCCCCUCAUGCUCUCCA